CAAUAGCGUAUAUUAAAGUUGUUGCGGUUAAAAGCUCGUAGUUGGAUUUCUGCCGAGGACGACCGGUCCGCCCUCUGGGUGAGUAUCUGGCUUGGCCUGGGCAUCUUCGUUGGAGGAACGUAGCUGCACUUGACUGUGUGGUGCGGUAUCCAGGACUUUUACUUUGAAAAAUUAGAGUGAUUUAAAGCAGGCUAUUGCCUUGAAUACAUUAGCAUGGAAUAAUAAUCUAGGACUUCGGUUCUAUUUUGUUGGUUUCUAGUACUGAAGUAAUGAUUGAUAGGGAUAGUUGGGGGUGCUAGUAUUGACCGGCCAGAGGUGAAAUUCUUGGAUUCGGUCAAGA
Molecule: ribosomal RNA, 340 nt
Filed under: uncultured eukaryote
Lineage: Eukaryota
Description: bacterial SSU rRNA
Rfam family: Eukaryotic small subunit ribosomal RNA
Source: RNAcentral